CCUACGGGAGGCAGCAGUGGGGAAUAUUGCACAAUGGGGGAAACCCUGAUGCAGCAACGCCGCGUGGAGGAUGACGCAUUUCGGUGUGUAAACUCCUUUUAUAUGGGAAGAUAAUGACGGUACCAUAUGAAUAAGCACCGGCUAACUCCGU
Molecule: ribosomal RNA, 151 nt
Filed under: uncultured Campylobacterota bacterium
Lineage: Bacteria; Pseudomonadati; Campylobacterota
Description: uncultured Epsilonproteobacteria bacterium partial 16S ribosomal RNA
Rfam family: Bacterial small subunit ribosomal RNA
Source: RNAcentral